RNAcentral lists this ribosomal RNA (492 nucleotides) under uncultured bacterium. Its description in RNAcentral is "partial 16S ribosomal RNA". It matches the Rfam family "Bacterial small subunit ribosomal RNA", at positions 29 to 507 of the family's 1533-position model. The record is from RNAcentral.
AGUGAACGCUGGCGGUAGGCCUAACACAUGCAAGUCGAACGGCAGCACAGUAAGAGCUUGCUCUUACGGGUGGCGAGUGGCGGACGGGUGAGGAAUACAUCGGAAUCUACUUUUUCGUGGGGGAUAACGUAGGGAAACUUACGCUAAUACCGCAUACGACCUACGGGUGAAAGCAGGGGAUCUUCGGACCUUGCGCGAUUGAAUGAGCCGAUGUCGGAUUAGCUAGUUGGCGGGGUAAAGGCCCACCAAGGCGACGAUCCGGAGCUGGUCUGAGAGGAUGAUCCGGCAAAAUGGAACUGGGAACAGGUCCCGACCCCCAAGGGAGGGAGCAGGGGGGAAUUUUGGAACAUGGGGGCCAGCCCGGUCCCACCAUUCCCGGGGGGUGAAAGAAGCCUUCCGGUUGUUAAACCCUUUUGUUGGGAAAGAAAAGCCGCCGGUUAAUACCCCGCUGUUUUGACGGUAACCAAAGAAUAAGCACCGGCUAACUUCGUG